Molecule: long non-coding RNA, 1071 nt
Filed under: Mus spicilegus (steppe mouse)
Lineage: Eukaryota; Metazoa; Chordata; Mammalia; Rodentia; Muridae
Description: lncRNA (ENSMSIG00000022886.1)
Source: RNAcentral
AUCCUUAUUCGAGAAGUAUGGCCCAGAGGUAAGCAUAGAAACAUAUGUAUAUAUCUCCACUGCUAUCCAUAGCAGUUAUUGCAUUCUAUUCUGUUUUAGAGAGCAAGAAAAGCCCUCAAACUAGAAUUAGAAACAGCUCCUAAAGAGCAAUAAAGUAAAAAUGCACCAUAGAAAAAGGAAAAGUCUAAACAAAGCUGCCGCUCACAGCAGUCCUGCACAGCAGAUAUAAAAAGCUAUAAGCAGUGUCUUUGAAAGAGUGCGAUGGACAAAGGCAGAUAACCACGAAAAGCGCACAAGGCCUGCAACGUUGGGUGAGUUGGUUGAAUUCAGCACAGUAGCAAGUGCUGUGGGUUAUGGAGGAGCAUAAAACCUGGUCUUUUUUUUUUUUUUUUUUUUUUAGAUUUAUUUAUUUCUUAUAGGUAAGUACACUGUAGCUGUCUUCAGACACCCCAGAAGAGGACAUCAGAUCUCAUUACGGAUGGUUGUGAGCCGUCAUGUGGUUGCUGGAAUUUGAACUCAUGAACUUCAGAAGAGCAGUCGGCACUCUUAACCGCUGAGCCAUCUCUCCAGCCCAAAACCUGGUCGUAAUAAAGGCACAAUGGCUAUGGUUUCUGCACAGUGUCGGUGCUCAAUCACCUGAGAUUAUCCAUUUGGUUUUCUUAUAUAUAUAUAAGUCUUGUUCUGCCAAAAUCUUCUCUGUCUUUCAGCUAUAUUAUAAUGAGCAGUGAAAAAUAUUAGAAUGAACAGAGAAACCGUGGGGCGCGGAGACAUACAAAAAAGGAGAGCUCAGUACCUUUGUGGAGAGUCACAUUGUGGCAGGCAAGGAUGGAUGCAGUCACAGUCGCUUGUUGAGUGGAACCCGGCUAGAAUACUGUGAAAUCGAGAAAUCACACCAAGCAACACGGAUCGAAGCUCUAUAUUUAAUUCUACGACCCAAAGGAGAAAUUGCACACGGGGAAUUGCUUGCCAAUCUGGAAUGGUGACACACUCUGAAAUAGGUAUUUCAGCUGCCUAGUGUGUCAGGAAAAAACAGGGUAGGAUCGAAAGGAAUAAAGCCGUGCAGGACAUUCA